Molecule: transfer RNA, 74 nt
Filed under: Gluconobacter japonicus
Lineage: Bacteria; Pseudomonadati; Pseudomonadota; Alphaproteobacteria; Acetobacterales; Acetobacteraceae
Description: tRNA-His
Source: RNAcentral
UGAUUGAUUUGUUGAGGAAAAGAGCGCCGGUUUGUGGUACCGGUUGUCGCGGGUUCGAUCCCCGUCAUUCGCCC